This 402-nucleotide ribosomal RNA is filed under the name uncultured bacterium. Its description in RNAcentral is "bacterial SSU rRNA". It matches the Rfam family "Bacterial small subunit ribosomal RNA", at positions 355 to 774 of the family's 1533-position model. The record is from RNAcentral.
UGGGGAAUAUUGCACAAUGGGGGAAACCCUGAUGCAGCAACGCCGCGUGAGUGAUGACGGCCUUCGGGUUGUAAAGCUCUGUCUUCAGGGACGAUAAUGACGGUACCUGAGGAGGAAGCCACGGCUAACUACGUGCCAGCAGCCGCGGUAAUACGUAGGUGGCAAGCGUUGUCCGGAUUUACUGGGCGUAAAGGGAGCGUAGGCGGACUUUUAAGUGAGAUGUGAAAUACCCGGGCUCAACCUGGGUGCUGCAUUUCAAACUGGAAGUCUAGAGUGCAGGAGAGGAGAGUGGAAUUCCUGUUGUAGCGGUGAAAUGCGUAGAGAUUAGGAAGAACACCAGUGGCGAAGGCGACUCUCUGGACUGUAACUGACGCUGAGGCACGAAAGCGUGGGGAGCAAACA